RNAcentral lists this ribosomal RNA (543 nucleotides) under uncultured bacterium. RNAcentral describes it as "bacterial SSU rRNA". It matches the Rfam family "Bacterial small subunit ribosomal RNA", at positions 102 to 674 of the family's 1533-position model. The record is from RNAcentral.
AAGGGGCAGUAAGGCAUGGGUACCUACCUUGGGGUUCGGGAUAGCCACCAGAGAUGGUGGGUAAUACCGGAUGACCUCGUGAGAGCAAAGGUCCGCCGCCCUGAGAGGGGCCCAUGUGAUAUUAGCUAGUUGGUGAGGUAACGGCUCACCAAGGCGAAGAUGUCUAGCGGGUGUGAGAGCACGACCCGCGCCACUCGCACUGAGACACUGGCGAGACACCUACGGGUGGCUGCAGUCGAGGAUCUUCGGCAAUGGGGGCAACCCUGACCGAGCGAUGCCGCGUGAGCGAUGAAGGCCUUCGGGUUGUAAAGCUCGAAAGUGGGGAGAAACGCCGAAAGGCUUGAUCUAUCCACAGUAAGCUCGGGCUAAGUUCGUGCCAGCAGCCGCGGUAAGACGAACCGAGCGAACGUUGUUCGGAAUCACUGGGCUUAAAGGGCGCGUAGGCGGGCUGUCAAGUUUGGGGUGAAAUCCCGCGGCUCAACCGUGGAACUGCCUCAAAUACUGACGGUCUCGAGGGAGAUAGGGGCAAGCGGAACUAAUGGU